RNAcentral lists this ribosomal RNA (504 nucleotides) under uncultured bacterium. RNAcentral's name for it is "partial 16S ribosomal RNA". It matches the Rfam family "Bacterial small subunit ribosomal RNA", at positions 29 to 523 of the family's 1533-position model. The record is from RNAcentral.
AUUGAACGCUGGCGGCGGGCCUAACACAUGCAAGUCGGACGGUAGCACAGAGAGCUUGCUCCUGGGUGACGAGUGGCGGACGGGUGAGUAAUGUCUGGGGAUCUGCCCGAUAGAGGGGGGUAACCACUGGAAACGGUGGCUAAUACCGCAUAACGUCGCAAGACCAAAGAGGGGGACCUUCGGGCCUCUCACUAUCGGAUGAACCCAGAUGGGAUUAGCUAGUAGGCGGGGUAAUGGCCCACCUAGGCGACGAUCCCUAGCUGGUCUGAGAGGAUGACCAGCCACACUGGAACUGAGACACGGUCCAGACUCCUACUGGAGGCAGCAGUGGGGAAUAUUGCACAAUGGGCGCAAGCCUGAUGCAGCCAUGCCGCGUGUAUGAAGAAGGCCUUCGGGUUGUAAAGUACUUUCAGCGGGGAGGAAGGCGGUGAGGUUAAUAACCUUGCCGAUUGACGUUACCCGCAGAAGAAGCACCGGCUAACUCCGUGCCAGCCGCCGCAGUAA